This 253-nucleotide ribosomal RNA is filed under the name uncultured bacterium. RNAcentral's name for it is "partial 16S ribosomal RNA". It matches the Rfam family "Bacterial small subunit ribosomal RNA", at positions 524 to 776 of the family's 1533-position model. The record is from RNAcentral.
UACGAAGGGGGCUAGCGUUGCUCGGAAUCACUGGGCGUAAAGGGUGCGUAGGCGGGGCUUUAAGUCAGGGGUGAAAUCCUGGAGCUCAACUCCAGAACUGCCUUUGAUACUGAGGAUCUUGAGUUCGGGAGAGGUGAGUGGAACUGCGAGUGUAGAGGUGAAAUUCGUAGAUAUUCGCAAGAACCCCAGUGGCGAAGGCGGCUCACUGGCCCGAUACUGACGCUGAGGCACGAAAGCGUGGGGAGCAAACAGG